Molecule: ribosomal RNA, 284 nt
Filed under: uncultured bacterium
Lineage: Bacteria
Description: partial 16S ribosomal RNA
Rfam family: Bacterial small subunit ribosomal RNA
Source: RNAcentral
UUGCCUACGGGAGGCAGCAGUGAGGAAUAUUGGUCAAUGGGCUUACGCCUGAACCAGCCAAGUCGCGUGAGGGAAGACUGCCCUAUGGAUUGUAAACCUCUUUUGUCAGGGAGCAACGCCGGCUACGGGUAGCCGGACUGAGAGUACCUGAAGAAAAAGCAUCGGCUAACUCCGUGCCAGCAGCCGCGGUAAUACGGAGGAUGCGGGCGUUAUCCGGAUUUAUUGGGUUUAAAGGGUGCGUAGGCGGACUGCCAAGUCACCGGUAAAUUCGCGGGGCUCAACCU